Molecule: ribosomal RNA, 255 nt
Filed under: uncultured bacterium
Lineage: Bacteria
Description: partial 16S ribosomal RNA
Rfam family: Bacterial small subunit ribosomal RNA
Source: RNAcentral
UACAGAGGGGGCAAGCGUUGUUCGGAAUUACUGGGCGUAAAGGGCGCGUAGGCGGCCCGCUAAGUCGAACGUGAAAUCCCCGAGCUCAACUCGGGAACUGCGUCCGAUACUGGCGGGCUUGGAAUCCGGGAGAGGGAUGCGGAAUUCCAGGUGUAGCGGUGAAAUGCGUAGAUAUCUGGAGGAACACCAGCGGCGAAGGCGGCACUCUGGGCCGGAACUGACGCUGAGGAGCGAAAGCGUGGGUAGCAAACGAGG